UACGUAGGUGGCGAGCGUUGUCCGGAUUUACUGGGCGUAAAGAGCGCGCAGGCGGUCGGCCAAGUCGAGUGUGAAAGCCCCCGGCUCAACUGGGGAGGGUCACUUGAUACUGGUCGACUCGAAGGCGGGAGAGGGAAGUGGAAUUCCCGGUGUAGUGGUGAAAUGCGUAGAUAUCGGGAGGAACACCAGUGGCGAAAGCGGCUUCCUGGUCCAGCACCGACGUUCAGGCACGAAAGCGUGGGGAGCAAACAGG
Molecule: ribosomal RNA, 253 nt
Filed under: uncultured bacterium
Lineage: Bacteria
Description: partial 16S ribosomal RNA
Rfam family: Bacterial small subunit ribosomal RNA
Source: RNAcentral